RNAcentral lists this long non-coding RNA (669 nucleotides) under Brassica napus (rape). Its description in RNAcentral is "long non-coding RNA (BNAP_LNC018100)". The record is from RNAcentral. Lineage: Eukaryota; Viridiplantae; Streptophyta; Magnoliopsida; Brassicales; Brassicaceae.
UCAACGUGAUUUUUCUUAUUGCUUGUUUCUAAGUAACUAACUAGAAACUUGAUCAUAGGAUAGUUAGGCGCAUGCGAGAGAUGGUCAGUUUCCUAAACUGAAUCCUGCUGAGCUAGGUUGCUAAGCGCAUGCAAGAGCUGGUUUAUUUAAUCUAGUGAACUUAUAGAUCUGAGCGUUAUUGAUUGUCUAAAAAAGUAUUGAUCGACACUUUGUAGUAUCGAUCGACACUCUAAUAGUUAGCAUGUGAGAGCUGGAAUAAGGAUUUAGGCAUUUGAUUAGAUUAGCAGUGAGAGCUGGAUAUCUUACUAUUGCAUUCGAGUUCUAGGAUCAAAGCAUUAACAUCUAUAGAUUUGAGUUCUGAUAACCUGAAUGAAACCGUAAGUCUAGCACCUGUCUUCCAUAGUUUAAAACUCUCUUUUAUUUACUGUUUUAUUUUUUGCUCUUUAUUAUUUGACAUAGCUUAAUCUGAAAUCAAAGUCUAUUGUGUGAAAGUUUAGUCUCUGUGGAUUUGAUCCAUAAGUACUGCAAUCGAUCUCUUAUUUGAGAGUGUUGCUCUAGGGUAAUUUGAACAUAUCAAUAGAUAUCUUUGUUGUUGGUUGUUGUAACCAAACCACCUCAAGUUUUAGUGAUGGAAUGAUCGUUUGAUGUCAAUAUAUAUAUAUAUAUAUA